This 499-nucleotide ribosomal RNA is filed under the name uncultured bacterium. RNAcentral's name for it is "partial 16S ribosomal RNA". It matches the Rfam family "Bacterial small subunit ribosomal RNA", at positions 28 to 507 of the family's 1533-position model. The record is from RNAcentral.
GAUGAACGCUGGCGGCGUGCCCAAUACAUGCAAGUCGAGCGAACAGACGAGAGUGCUUGCACUCUCUGACGUUAGCGGCGGACGGGUGAGUAACACGUGGGUAACCUACCUAUAAGACUGGGAUAACUUCGGGAAACCGGAGCUAAUACCGGAUAAUAUUUAGCUUCGCAUGAAGCAAUAGUGAAAGACGGUUCUGCUGUCACUUAUAGAUGGACCCGCGGUGUAUUAGCUGGUUGGUGAGGUAACGGCUCACCAAGGCAACGAUACAUAGCCGACCUGAGAGGGUGAUCGGCCACACUGGGACUGAGACACGGCCCAGACUCCUACGGGAGGCAGCAGUAGGGAAUCUUCCGCAACGGACGAAAGUCUGACGGAGCAAUGCCGCGUGAGUGAAGAAGGUUUUCGGAUCGUAAAACUCUGUUGUAAGGGAAGAACAAGUACGUUAGUAACUGAACGUACCUUGACGGUACCUUACCAGAAAGCCACGGCUAACUACGUG